AUUGAUUCACCUAUCUAAGUGGUAACGAAAAUCUGAAAUAUGGAGUUUAGUUUUAUCAGUUUUAAGGUUUUCAUCUUUUGUUUUUUUUUUUUCUUUGAAGCCUGUAUUCGUUGCUGAAAUGCCAUCUAUGUCUGUCCAUUUUGUAAAAUCUGUUGGUGUGAUUUGUCAAAUAACAGACCAUUGGCUUUCAAUGUCAAUCGAGAGCCUGUUUGAGUGAGAAAUUGCUUACCUUGGGGCUGCUCUUUAGCACUCUCCAAAGAGUUAGGUUGGGAUAGAUGAAAGCUCAUAUCAUAGCUUUUAUAUGUCCUAAAAUUUAUUAGAUUACUCUACUUAGAUCUUUGUUUAAAUCCUCUAAGUUAUUUUAUAUCUCCUUGCUUUUUCUUGUUUGUCUUUCGUAUAUGCUAAAUGAAUUGGCUUAAAACUUUGAUUAAGUUGAGUCUAAAGUUGUUUAUCUUUAAACUAUACUUGAAUUUGUUUCGAACUCCUUUUUGGUUUGAUCAAAGGUUGUGUUUAAGUAGGAGUAGGAAACCUCUGUUUAGUUGUUGUCAUAUUUAAGUUGUGGCUGCCUAUUGUUGUUAAGUGCCUCCAUCUUGGACAGGUUAUUUUAUACACUGAUUCUGAAUUGCUUAUGAAAUUAUGUGAUGUUUAAAUAAUUUUGACAUUAUUAUAAAUAUGUUCUCGUGUUUAUUUACUGAUUUUAGGUGCAAAUAUACUAGUCUUUUCUUUACUGUUUGUAGUUAAUCUAACCUCAACUGCCGUAAAUCUUCAAGUGCUACCCUCGAUUGCCCUUAGAUGUUCUUUGCUGUAAUUCUGGUUCAGUAACUCUAGAUAGAGUUCUGCUUGCUUUUGAUAGUUUUUUCUUCAUUGCUGUGUUUGAAUAUGGCAAUUUGUGUCAUGUCUUAAAUUAAUUCAUGUUGACAUCAACUUGUUUCUUUAAGCAGUAAGUCCAUGUUUACUUGAUAUCGUUCUUUUCUCUAAUUUAUAUUUACUCUAUCUUUGUUUUUUCUGUGAUCGAUAGUAGUAUAUGGUUAAGUUUGGUAUAAUUUCAAACAUGAUAAACAUGUCAUUUAGAGUUUUGAGCUCACAUGACAUUGUUUGUUUUAAGCUCAAGUUGAUAUCAUCCAAAUGUUGUUUUUAAUCUUUUUCCCUUUUUUUCUUGGCAUGACCUCUCCCAUUUGAGUCAAUUGGACUCCUACUCUUGCAUACUCCUCUCCUCGAGUCAACCUCCUUUAAGCCAAUUGAAAGGAGGUUAAUAUUACUGGGAUAAAACCCAAGAGCCAGCCACUGCAGCAGCUUUGAAAGGCUGAGAAACGAGAAGCGAAAAUUGGGUUAAAAGCCCAAAAUCUGAAGCCGCAACAUGGGUACAAAAGAGUUGAAAUGAGAGUGUUUUGGGUUCAAAUUGGCCGAAAUUAAAACACCUGGUUUUUGCAUCAGUUUCAGCAGUCUCAAAAGGCUGGAAAUAUCAUUUUAGCACUAGCAGCAAGAAAUAAGAAGCAGAUUAAAUUGGUGUGAAGAUGGAGAAGUUUGGAGCUAAAACGAAUUAAAAAUGAAAGGUUGAAGAAGGAAAGCAGACAAUUUGAUGCAUUAAAUUGAACAUUAUAUUAAUAUUUAUAUACAUUCAAAUGUACGCAGAAUUGAAAGGAAGCGGAUUUUGAUAGACAAUUAUCUUGUUGCCACAUGGCACUGAAUGAAGGCACCUCCAAUUUCAUGUAGGUUUUGGUUUCCCAAUUUGUUUGGACUCUAUCAUUUUAUUUAGGGUUUUCUACAUUUAUAAAUAGGCCAUAAGAAUAAUUAUUGGGGGAUAUACGGAGACUUUGGAAGGAAAAGUUGUCGAUACUUUUUAGGAUUCUUUUCUUCUUUUUUCUCUUCUUAGACAUUAGUAACUAAAGACCUUUGUUCUAGGGUUGUGGCUACAUGAUGAUUGUAUAGUAUUGAAUUUUAUGUAUUAAAAAUUGUUAUCGCAUAAAGUGCUCUUUUGUUCUUAUUUUA
This is a long non-coding RNA of Solanum stenotomum, 1989 nucleotides long. RefSeq lists it as uncharacterized. NCBI's taxonomy places the organism in Eukaryota, Viridiplantae, Streptophyta, Magnoliopsida, Solanales, Solanaceae. The transcript is spliced from 3 exons. The record is from RefSeq and is a predicted model, not a curated record.